GAGACAGGCAUAUGGCUGUGGUGGAGACCGGGGCUCCAGAGACAUGGCAUUUGUAUGUAAGGUUUGAUGAAUAUCUACAAUGUGCCACACUGCUAGAAAGAAGGAUAAAAGGUGUACCAAAUAAGUAAAUAGCAUGUCAUCAUGAAAGUGGGAAAGACACAAGAUAAGCAGGAAACAUCACUGAUUCUCACAGCCUAGAGUACUUGGUGACUACUGCCUCUGACCAAAGCAGAACUCUCUCCUCUGCUGGUUCUGACUUGUGCCAAUAUGAAGAACUCCUUGGAGCCUAUCAUCUCAUCAGCGCCAACUAUUGUCCAUGAUGAAGGUUUGGGAAUGAUACAUGGUUCACUAGGCUGGCCUGGAAUUCACCUGAAGCUCACACCAGCCUGGGAUCCUCCUGCAGGAACCUUCCAAAUAGCCGGGGUGACAGAUGUGCACCAGUAGGCCUAGUGGUAAUUAGGCUUNAGAUGCUAGAUCUGGGAUGCGACUUUUGAAGAAUCACUCGCCAANGAAGAAUCCUGUCUUCAUGAGCUAUAUGGGCCAGCAGCCCGUUUAAACUGUUCUCAGGGAUACGUGUGGAACACUGUGUCAGUAUCCAUGAGUAGUAUGGUUCCCUAUAUGGCUGUAAUUAGAAUUUUCACAAUGAAGUGCAAGGGAAAAACACAAACAGCAAUUUUCGGGAAAACAUGAAUUUCAGAUUUUCUCAUGAAUAGAAACAUAAUGAC
Molecule: long non-coding RNA, 725 nt
Organism: Mus caroli (Ryukyu mouse)
Lineage: Eukaryota; Metazoa; Chordata; Mammalia; Rodentia; Muridae
Source: RefSeq, a predicted model, not a curated record